RNAcentral lists this non-coding RNA (290 nucleotides) under Deltaproteobacteria bacterium. The record is from RNAcentral. Lineage: Bacteria; Pseudomonadati; Myxococcota; Myxococcia.
GUAUUUGAGACAGGUCCAGGUGUAUCAGCUUAAUAGGGAAUCCCGUUAAAGUCGGGAGCGGUCCCGCCGCUGUGACCCUGCCCGAACACUGCAUCCGCCUGUAGCGCCCGUUGUCCGGUAUCGUGCAAGCGCCGUCUUCGGCGGGCAAGAUCGACCCAGCCGGCAAACAGGCUGCCAGUUUGUAAGGGAACCCCUUCGGCCGUUGCGCGCCACUGUUUCGAAGAAUCGACAUGGGAAGGCUGCCGAGGGGGCGGGGAAGCCAGAAGACCUGCCUGGGCGUUCGGCCGAAC